AUCUUCAAUAGCGUAUAUUAAAGUUGUUGCAGUUAAAAAGCUUGUAGUUGGAUUUCUGGUGGGAGGGAUCGGUCCAGCAUUCUGUGUGGGAACUUUUAUCCUCUCCAGCCAUCCUUGGGUGGAUCUUAUCUGACAUUAAGUUCUCAGUCAGGGGAUACUCAUCGUUUACUGUGAAGAAUUAGAGUGCUCAAAUCAGGCUUAUGCCAUUGAAUAUAUUAGCAUGGAAUAAUAAGAUAGGGUCCUGGUACUAUUUUGUUGGUUUGCGUACCGAGGUAAUGAUUAAUAGAGAUAGUUGGGGGUACUUGUAUUCAGUAUUCAGUGGUGAAAUACUUAGACCUACGGAAGAAAAACUACUGCAAAAUUAUUUACCAAAGAUGUUUUUA
Molecule: ribosomal RNA, 383 nt
Filed under: uncultured eukaryote
Lineage: Eukaryota
Description: SSU rRNA
Rfam family: Eukaryotic small subunit ribosomal RNA
Source: RNAcentral